This 505-nucleotide ribosomal RNA is filed under the name uncultured bacterium. Its description in RNAcentral is "bacterial SSU rRNA". It matches the Rfam family "Bacterial small subunit ribosomal RNA", at positions 29 to 518 of the family's 1533-position model. The record is from RNAcentral.
AUGAACGCUGGCGGCGUGCCUAACACAUGCAAGUCGAACGGAGAUUAACGCUGACGAGACUUCGGUCAAAUCUUGUUAAAUCUUAGUGGCGGACGGGUGAGUAACGCGUGGGCAACCUGCCUCAUACUGGGGGAUAGCAGUUGGAAACGACUGAUAAUACCGCAUAAGCGCACGAGAUCGCAUGAUCUAGUGUGAAAAACUCCGGUGGUAUGAGAUGGGCCCGCGUCAGAUUAGCUAGUUGGUAAGGUAACGGCUUACCAAGGCGACGAUCUGUAGCCGGACUGAGAGGUCGGACGGCCACAUUGGGACUGAGACACGGCCCAAACUCCUACGGGAGGCAGCAGUGGGGGAUAUUGCACAAUGGAGGAAACUCUGAUGCAGCGACGCCGCGUGAAGUGAAGAAGUAUUUCGGUAUGUAAAGCUCUAUCAGCAGGGAAGAAAGGCUCGCAAGAGAGAUGACGGUACCUGACUAAGAAGCCCCGGCUAACUACGUGCCAGCCGCCGC